This 250-nucleotide long non-coding RNA is filed under the name Gallus gallus (chicken). Lineage: Eukaryota; Metazoa; Chordata; Aves; Galliformes; Phasianidae. The record is from RNAcentral.
CGCCUCUGUGAUUCCCCGCAUCACUGGCUGGAAGUCCGCCGCGCAUCAGUGAGGAGCUGCUGCAGAAGAAAGAAGAAGCGGCGUGGGGACCUGGGCUGCAAAAUCAAGAUGGGGUAUCUGUUGACUGUUUUUCUUGUAUUUCUUUGCCUUUUGGAGCCACAGUUUUGAACGGUUGUGUAAGACUUUAUCACUCUUUUUGUCAGCGUCGUCAGCUGUGAAUAAAGUUUUUUUUCCAUGUUGUUUUUCCUGU